RNAcentral lists this long non-coding RNA (2835 nucleotides) under Marmota monax (woodchuck). Lineage: Eukaryota; Metazoa; Chordata; Mammalia; Rodentia; Sciuridae. The record is from RNAcentral.
GAAGAAUCCACUAGAAAGACCAGGUGUUUUUCCCCCUUCUUAGAUCCAGUUGCUCAAGAUUCUUCUCUUUGCCAAGAGGAAAAUUCAGAAGAAGAUAAAAUGGUUGCAGUUCUUUCAAAUACUGAAUCAUGUGUAAGUUUCCUUUCCCUGGUUUUCAUUCUUAAGUGAAUACUGAACUGGACUCUUUAGUGGUAAAGAUAAUUCAGGCCAAAAAAAAAAAAAAAAUUGAAACAAGGAACUUAAAGUUUAUUUUUCACAUUUUAUUUGAGUUCACAGAUUGUGUUACAAGUUGGAAUAAACAAAAACAUUUGGGACUGGGAUUAUGGCUCAAUGGUAGAGCGCUCACCUAGCAUGUGCAAGGCCCUGAGCCAUAUAAAAAUAAAUAAAUACAUAAUUAAAAAAAGGUAUUGUGUCUAACUACAACUAAAAAAACAAAUAUUUCAAAACAAAAACAUUUACUAACAUUCAACAGUUAAUCCUGUAGAAAAUUAGUCAGGUGGAAAUAGAGCUGUAUUUCCUUUAUAUGAUCAAGAGGAUCUCCAGCUGAGUAGUGUUGGAAUCUUCACAAUAUCAAUAAAAGAUAAGGAAUUGCUGCUGAGUGCAGUGGUACAUCCUGUAAUCCCAGCUACUCAUGAAGCUGAGGCAGGAGGAUCACAAAUUCAAGGUUAGCCUUGACAACUUAUCAAGAUGCUGUCUCAAAAACUAAUUCUCAAAAACUAAUUCAGGAGUCUUAAGGUAGGAGGAUCACAAGUUCAAAACCAACCUUAGCAACUUAGGGAGAUCUUGUCUCAAAAUUAAAAAAAAAAAAGCUGGGGAUGUUGCUUAGCAUGCACAAAACACUGGAUUCAGUCCCUAUUACCAAAAAGAAAAGACAUCAUUGCCAUUAACCAGUGUUUUCUGAACACUCUAGCCAAUGCAGCAAGCAUUGGUAUUAAAGAGGCAAAUGUGUAUUCGCAGACAUUGUCUAUUUUCAAAACCUCAACAAAAGCAACUGAAAAAGUACUGAAACUUGUAGUAAUAUCUGGGAAAAUAGUUGGUUACAAAUCAAUAAGUUUCCUAUAAAGCAGUAAUCACCAGUUAGGGGAAAAAAUACCUUUUUUUUAGUACUGGGUAUUGAACCCAGAGGGGCUUAACCACUGAGCCACAUCCCCAGUCCUUUUUAUUUUAAAACAGUCUUGCUAAGUUGCUUAGGGCCUUGCUAAGUUACUGAGGCUGGCUUUGAACUUGUGAUCUUCAUGCCUCAGUCUUCCGAGUCAGACCACCAUACUGAGUGGUGGGGGAUUUUAUUCACAAGAAUGAAUUAACAGUGCUGUAGCAGGCCAGUGAUUACUCCAAAAACUAUGUCUUUUUUCCAAUUCCUGCAACUUGUGAAUGUUUCUUCCUUUGGAGGAAGAUCUUUGCAGGUGUGAUUAAAUUAAGGGUUUUAAAAUGUCUAUCCUUGAUUAUAUGAGUAGGCUCUGAAUGCAUUGUAAGUUCCCCCAAUAGAGUUUGAGAGAGAUUGAGUGUACUAGGAAGAGAUGAUGAUAUAAAAGAGGGAGGUGAUUUCAAUGGAUAGUGCCACAAGCCAAGGAAUGCUGACAUCACCAAAAGCUAGAAGAAACAAGGAACAAGUUCUCCCCCCAGAUCCUCUCAAGAGAGUGCAGUUCUACCAACACAGUGAGCUCUGAUUUCUGGCUCCAGCUUUGUGAGAGAAUACAUUUCUGUUGUUCAAAGCAACCAAAGCCAUGGUAAUUGGUUACAUGGUAUUACAUCAGCAGGAAGCUAAUGCAGUAAUAGGCAGACACUCUGUUAUACUGCGUCUCAAAAAGUCAUGCGGAGGAUGCUACAGAAAGUGAAUUUAAAGAGUCAGUCUACUUGUUUAUAAAUGUGGAGCUAUUACAAGUGCAAGUACAGACUGAAUACAGAUUCUGUAAGAGGAUAUAGAAAAUAGUUACUGCAUAUAACUGGAAGUUAAAAUUUGGAAUAUAAUUGCUAAUGAUAUUAUUAUGUAUUUAAUUACUACCUGUAGUUAGCUUAUAUUAAUUCUGCAUAUUUGGGGUUUGGUAAUGUAAAUUAUACCCUUCACUCAUAAUUUUCCUUUUACUCGUAGGAAUCAAUAUGUUAGAAUUAACUUGACCAAUAGAGAAUUCUUAUACAGCAUUGACAACAGAGACUGGAUGGGAGAGGCAGGGUUAUGAAAUACCCUGUUCUUUGUCACUUGUAUUAAUCACAUAAUAGCUACUCCAUAGUUACUUUGAAAUUUUUAGAAACUUGAAUACUGUCAAAAUCAUUUAUUUAUAUGCUAACCACUUCUCUGCAUCCUUAGGGUCUGUCUGGAAAUAAUACAAUGCAAAAUGACUAUGUUUGGUGUUUUAGGAAACCAUAACAUUCAAGGAUGUGACUGUGAAUUUUUCCAGAGGAGAAUGGAAGAAGCUGGAGCCCUCUCAGAAGGAGCUAUAUAAGGACGUGCUACUGGAGAACUUAAGGAACCUAGAAUUUCUGGGUAAUGACAUCCUCUUUAUGAUCUAGCAUCUAAGCUGGGUAUCUUUUUGUCCCCUGUUAUAGAAAGAUAAAUACUGUACUCAUGUAAAUAUUUUAACUUUGUUUUGACUGAGCACUCAGGGAUUAAAAUGACUAAUCCUAAAAAUGGAUCAGAAAACUGUACUUUUCUGCAAAAUUACCUCCAAAAGGUCUUUGCUUCAUUCAGUGGGAAGUGUGCAGCAUUGUUGAGAGCCCCAGGGGUUCCAAACGCUGCACAGAAGGCAGGGCGCCUUCAGAGGGCCAAAGCAGGAGGGUUAGAAGGGCGUCCCCCUGGCUGCGCUCCUGGGCCAUUCUGAACUUUCUCCAGACGCCGAC